GGCGGAAUAGCUCAGUUGGUAGAGCAGGGGAAUCAUAAUCCUCGUGUCGUGGGUUCAAGUCCCUCUUCCGCCACC
RNAcentral lists this transfer RNA (75 nucleotides) under bacterium BMS3Bbin04. Its description in RNAcentral is "tRNA-Met". It matches the Rfam family "tRNA". Rfam says of the family: Transfer RNA (tRNA) molecules are approximately 80 nucleotides in length. The record is from RNAcentral.